This 478-nucleotide ribosomal RNA is filed under the name uncultured bacterium. RNAcentral describes it as "partial 16S ribosomal RNA". It matches the Rfam family "Bacterial small subunit ribosomal RNA", at positions 28 to 523 of the family's 1533-position model. The record is from RNAcentral.
GACGAACGCUGGCGGCGUGCUUAACACAUGCAAGUCGAACGGUAAGGCCCUUCGGGGUACACGAGUGGCGAACGGGUGAGUAACACGUGGGUGAUCUGCCCUGCACUUCGGGAUAAGCCUGGGAAACUGGGUCUAAUACCGGAUAGGACCACUGCCUGCAUGGGUGGUGGUGGAAAGCUUUUGCGGUGUGGGAUGGGCCCGCGGCCUAUCAGCUUGUUGGUGGGGUGAUGGCCUACCAAGGCGACGACGGGUAGCCGGCCUGAGAGGGUGACCGGCCACGCUGGGGCUGAGAUACGGCCCAGACUCCUACGGGAGGCAGCAGGGGGGAAUAUUGCACAAUGGGCGCAAGCCUGAUGCAGCGACGCCGCGUGAGGGAUGACGGCCUUCGGGUUGUAAACCUCUUUCAGCACCGACGAAGCGCAAGCGACGGUAGGUGCAGAAGAAGGACCGGCCAACUACGUGCCAGCAGCCGCCGUAA